UUAUGGCUCAGGAUGAACGCUAGCUACAGGCUUAACACAUGCAAGUCGAGGGGCAGCAUGAGAUCAGCUUGCUGAUCUGAUGGCGACCGGCGCACGGGUGAGUAACGCGUAUCCAACCUUCCCCCUACUCAGGCAUAGCCCGGUGAAAACCGGAUUAACUCCUGAUAGUUUCACUAGAUGGCAUCUGACGGUGAAUAAAGCUUAGCGGUAAGGGAUGGGGAUGCGUCUGAUUAGCUUGUUGGCGGGUAACGGCCCACCAAGGCGACGAUCAGUAGGGGUUCUGAGAGGAAGGUCCCCCACAUUGGAACUGAGACACGGUCCAAACUCCUACGGGAGGCAGCAGUGAGGAAUAUUGGUCAAUGGGCGCGAGCCUGAACCAGCCAAGUAGCGUGCCAGGAAGACGGCCCUAUGGGUUGUAAACUGCUUUUGUGCGGGAAUAAAGUCAGGGACGUGUCCCUGUUUGCAUGUACCGCAAGAAUAAGGACCGGCUAAUUCCGUGCCAGCAGCCGC
Molecule: ribosomal RNA, 510 nt
Filed under: uncultured bacterium
Lineage: Bacteria
Description: bacterial SSU rRNA
Rfam family: Bacterial small subunit ribosomal RNA
Source: RNAcentral